GAUCGACGACAUUGACGACGAGGCCUGCAAGAAGGAGGUCUACUACUACGAGAAGAUGGAGGUGUCCAACUACAACAACGACAUCCUGCUGGCCGAGGCCUGCCGCACCGACGUGGAGAAGUUCUGCAACAACAUCGAGGCGGGCGAGGGCCGCGUGCACAAGUGCCUGCGCGACAACCGCAAGAAGCUGUCCGACACCUGCCGCAAGGAGGAGCUGCUGCUGGAGGAGAAGGAGGCCGAUUCCAUCGAGCUCAACGUGUCGCUGCUCAAGUCCUGCAAGGCCGAGCGCCAGCUGUUC
RNAcentral lists this long non-coding RNA (298 nucleotides) under Chlamydomonas reinhardtii. RNAcentral describes it as "long non-coding RNA (CREI_LNC000984)". The record is from RNAcentral. Lineage: Eukaryota; Viridiplantae; Chlorophyta; Chlorophyceae; Chlamydomonadales; Chlamydomonadaceae.